CCCUGUGUGGUGAAAAGGGUAAUGUGCUUGGCUGUGAACUUAAAGGUUGGUGGUUUGAAUCCAUCCAGAGGCA
Molecule: transfer RNA, 73 nt
Filed under: Loxodonta africana (African savanna elephant)
Lineage: Eukaryota; Metazoa; Chordata; Mammalia; Proboscidea; Elephantidae
Rfam family: tRNA
About the family: Transfer RNA (tRNA) molecules are approximately 80 nucleotides in length. Their secondary structure includes four short double-helical elements and three loops (D, anti-codon, and T loops).
Source: Rfam by way of RNAcentral